Non-coding RNA from Labrus bergylta (ballan wrasse), 329 nucleotides. Lineage: Eukaryota; Metazoa; Chordata; Actinopteri; Labriformes; Labridae. The record is from RefSeq and is a predicted model, not a curated record.
UUUGGGGGGGGAGUAAUUGACCACGACUUAUUUUUCUUGAAUCUGGCUCCUGUUGAUUUAUUUGCUUGGAUCUGAGUUUUCUGUGUACCAGACCAUGGACUGAACAUGAAACUGUGCCAGUUUUUUUCAUCUUUGCCUGCAUUGAACUAAUAUAGCUAAGAAUGAGAACUUGACAGACCUGUGGCCAGCUUGCAGACAUCCCUUAGGAGUGGUCGACACCUUGCUUGCCAGCCCCUGAAGUUGCCUACUGGCAGAACACGACUUUGGUUGGAGUCAGACCUAGAGGCUGCUACAGUAAAGACUCAGCCUUUGUACAUGGAGCAGAUGCU